Molecule: transfer RNA, 70 nt
Filed under: Heliconius melpomene (postman butterfly)
Lineage: Eukaryota; Metazoa; Arthropoda; Insecta; Lepidoptera; Nymphalidae
Description: tRNA HMEL011851
Rfam family: tRNA
About the family: Transfer RNA (tRNA) molecules are approximately 80 nucleotides in length. Their secondary structure includes four short double-helical elements and three loops (D, anti-codon, and T loops).
Source: RNAcentral
UCCCUAGUGGUGCAGCUGCACACACACAUUGUAAACGUGACAGUUUUGGGUUCGAUUCCCAUUUGGGGAA